This 787-nucleotide ribosomal RNA is filed under the name uncultured bacterium. RNAcentral's name for it is "bacterial SSU rRNA". It matches the Rfam family "Bacterial small subunit ribosomal RNA", at positions 8 to 807 of the family's 1533-position model. The record is from RNAcentral.
AGAGUUUGAUCCUGGCUCAAAAUCAACGCUGGCGGCGUGCCUCAGACAUGCAAGUCGAACGAUUAACCCUCCCUUCGGGGAGUGCAUAAGGUGGCGCAGGGGUGAUUAACACGUAAGUAAUCUCCCCUCGGGGGGGGAAUAACGUCCGGAAACGGACUCUAAUACCGCAUAAUGCAGCGGCACCGCAAGGUGACAGUUGUUAAAUAUUUAUUGCCUGGGGAGGAGCUUGCGGCAAAUUAUCUAGUUGGUAAGGUAACGGCUUACCAAGGCUACUAUCUGUAUCCGGUCUAAGAGGACGGUCGGACACACUGACACUGAAUAACGGGUCACACUCCUACGGGAGGCAGCAGUCGGUAUUUUUGGGCGGUGGGGAAAACCCUGACCCACCCCCGCCGCGUGAAGGAUGAAUUAUUUCGGUAUGUAAACUUCGAAAGAAUAGGAAUAAUUAAUGACGGUACUAUUUAUACGGUCCGGCUAACUACGUGCCAGCAGCCGCGGUAAUACGUAGGGACCAAUCGUUGUUCUUAUUUACUGGGCGUAGAGGGCGCGUAGGCGGCGCGGUAAGUCACUUGUGAAAUCUCUGAUCUUAACUCAAAACGGCCAAGUGAUACUGCAGUGCUAGAGUGUGGAAGGGGCAAUCUGAAUUCUUGGUGUAGCGGUGAAAUGCGUAGAUAUCAAGAGGAACACCUGAGGUGAAGACUGGUGUGCUGGGCUCACACUGACGCUGAGGCGCGAAGCGAGGGGAGCAAACGGGAUUAGAUACCGCCGGGUAGUCCCUGCCCCUAAA